AGUCCUACGGGAGGCAGCAGUGGGGAAUAUUGCACAAUGGGCGCAAGCCUGAUGCAGCCAUGCCGCGUGUGUGAAGAAGGCUUUCGGGUUGUAAAGCACUUUCAGUUGGGAGGAAAAGUUAACGGUUAAUACCCGUUAGCCCUGACGUUACCAACAGAAGAAGCACCGGCUAACUCCGUGCCAGCAGCCGCGGUAAU
Molecule: ribosomal RNA, 197 nt
Filed under: uncultured bacterium
Lineage: Bacteria
Description: partial 16S ribosomal RNA
Rfam family: Bacterial small subunit ribosomal RNA
Source: RNAcentral